Transfer RNA from Camelus ferus (Wild Bactrian camel), 73 nucleotides. It matches the Rfam family "tRNA". From Rfam's summary of the family: Transfer RNA (tRNA) molecules are approximately 80 nucleotides in length. Their secondary structure includes four short double-helical elements and three loops (D, anti-codon, and T loops). Lineage: Eukaryota; Metazoa; Chordata; Mammalia; Artiodactyla; Camelidae. The record is from Rfam.
GAGGGUAUAGCUCAAGUGGUAGAGCGCAUGCCUACCGUGCAUGAGGCUCUGGGUUCAAUCCCCAGUACCUUCA